RNAcentral lists this ribosomal RNA (468 nucleotides) under uncultured bacterium. Its description in RNAcentral is "partial 16S ribosomal RNA". It matches the Rfam family "Bacterial small subunit ribosomal RNA", at positions 28 to 507 of the family's 1533-position model. The record is from RNAcentral.
GACGAACGCUGGCGGCGUGCUUAACACAUGCAAGUCGAACGGAAAGGCCCUGCUUUUGUGGGGUGCUCGAGUGGCGAACGGGUGAGUAACACGUGAGUAACCUGCCCUUGACUUUGGGAUAACUUCAGGAAACUGGGGCUAAUACCGGAUAGGAGCUCCUGCUGCAUGGUGGGGGUUGGAAAGUUUCGGCGGUUGGGGAUGGACUCGCGGCUUAUCAGCUUGUUGGUGGGGUAGUGGCUUACCAAGGCUUUGACGGGUAGCCGGCCUGAGAGGGUGACCGGACAAAUUGGGACUGAGAUACGGCCCAGACUCCAACGGGAGGCAGCAGUGGGGAAUAUUGCACAAUGGGAGGAAGCCUGAUGAAGCAAAGCCGCGUGCGGGAUGACGGCCUUCGGGUUGUAAACCGAUUUCGCCUGUGACGAAGCGUGAGUGACGGUAAUGGGUAAAGAAGCACCGGCUAACUACGUG